Kyrpidia tusciae DSM 2912 is the source of this 2958-nucleotide non-coding RNA. Lineage: Bacteria; Bacillati; Bacillota; Bacilli; Caryophanales; Alicyclobacillaceae. The record is from Rfam.
AGAGAAAGUAGGAAAGGCGCACGGUGGAUGCCUGGGCGCUGGGAGCCGAAGAAGGACGGGGCGAACGCCGAAACGCCCCGGGGAGCCGUAAGCAGGCUGGGAUCCGGGGAUGUCCGAAUGGGGGAACCCGCCGUCUGGGAGAGGCGGCAUCGGCGGCUGAAUGCAUAGGUCGUCGAGGGCAGACCGGGGGAACUGAAACAUCUCAGUACCCCGAGGAGAAGAAAGCAACCGCGAUUCCCCAAGUAGCGGCGAGCGAACGGGGAGAAGCCUAAACCGGUCUUUUAGGGGGCCGGGGUCGAGGGGCGUCCCGUAGGGAGUGAGAAACCGGGUGGGUAGGAGAAGGGUCUGGGAAGGCCCGCCGGAGAGGGUGAGAGCCCCGUAUCCGAAACCGACCGGGCUCCGGGGCGGACCCCGAGUAGGGCGGGGCACGAGGAAUCCCGCUUGAAUCCGGGAGGACCACCUCCCAAGGCUAAAUACUCCCCAGCGACCGAUAGCGGAGAGUACCGUGAGGGAAAGGUGAAAAGCACCCCGGGAGGGGAGUGAAAGAGGACCUGAAACCGUGUGCCGACAAGCAGUCGGAGGGCGACGUUAAGCCUGACGGCGUGCCUUUUGUAGAAUGAACCGGCGAGCGGCCGUAUGAAGCGAGGUUAAGGCCUUCAGGGCCGGAGCCGAAGCGAAAGCGCGUCUGAAGAGGGCGAGAGUUUCAUGCGGCAGACCCGAAACCGGGUGAUCUACCCCUGACCAGGGUGAAGUGGCGGUGAAACGCCAUGGAGGCCCGAACCUGUUGGUGUUGAAAAACCAUAGGAUGAGUUGGGGGUAGGGGUGAAAUGCCAAUCGAACCCGGAGAUAGCUGGUUCUCCCCGAAAUCGCUUGAGGGCGAGCGUGCGGCGGUGAAGGCGGGGGCGGUAGAGCACCGAUUGGGGGAGGGGCCCGCGAGGGUUACCGAGCCGAGUCGAACUCCGAAUGCCGUCGUCGGAUGCCGUGCAGUGAGACUGCGAGUGAUAAGAUCCGCGGUCGAGAGGGAAACAGCCCAGACCGACGGCUAAGGUCCCCAAGGGCGGGUUAAGUGGGAAAGGAAGUGGCCGUGCGAAGACAACCAGGAUGUUGGCUUAGAAGCAGCCAUCAUUGAAAGAGUGCGUAAUAGCUCACUGGUCGAGUGCGGCUGCGCCGAAAAUGAAACGGGGCUCAAACCCGCGACCGAAGCCUCGGACAGGAGACUGUGGUAGGGGAGCGUUCCCGCGUGGGGGAAGCACGACCGGGAGGGCGUGUGGACGUGCGGGAAGUGAGAAUGCCGGUAUGAGUAACGAAAGACAGGUGAGAAUCCUGUCCGCCGAAAGCCGAAGGGUUCCUGGGGAAGGUUCGUCCGCCCAGGGUUAGUCGGGACCUAAGCCGAGGCCGAAAGGCGUAGGCGAAGGGCAACGGGUGGAGAAUCCCGUACCACCGAGGUCCGUUUGAGCGAAGGGGGGACACAGGAGGACAGGGGAGCGGCCGGCUGGAAGAGGCCGUCCAAGCGGCGAGGGGGUCACGCAGGGAAAUCCGCGUGGCGGGAAGCCUGAGCCGUGAUGGGGAGGGAAGGUUGAGUACCGAAGUCCCUGGGUUCACACUGGCGAGAAAAGCCUCUAGCGAGGACCUGGGUGCCCGUACCGGAAACCGACACAGGUUGGCACGGAGAGGAUCCGAAGGCGACCGGGAGAACUCUCGUUAAGGAACUCGGCAAAAUGGCCCCGUAACUUCGGGAGAAGGGGCGCUCCGGUAGGGUGAGGGUCCCCGCGGGCAGAAGCUUUCGCUUUUGCCGGUGGGGGGGAAGCCCGAGGGAGCCGCAGAGGAGAGGCCCAAGCGACUGUUUAGCAAAAACACAGGUCUCUGCGAAGCCGGAAGGCGAAGUAUAGGGGCUGACGCCUGCCCGGUGCUGGAAGGUUAAGGGGAAGGGUGAGAGCCCUGAACCGAAGCCCCAGUAAACGGCGGCCGUAACUAUAACGGUCCUAAGGUAGCGAAAUUCCUUGUCGGGUAAGUUCCGACCCGCACGAAAGGCGUAACGACUUGGGCGCUGUCUCAACGAGAGACCCGGUGAAAUUGUAGUCCCUGUGAAGAUGCAGGGUACCCGCGGCUAGACGGAAAGACCCCGUGGAGCUUGACUGUAGCCUGAUAUGGGAGAUGGGUCGGUCAUGUACAGGAUAGGUGGGAGGCAGGGAACUCCGGGCGCCAGCCCGGGGGGAGCCGACGUUGGGAUACCACCCUUGGCGGAUUGAUCUUCUAACCUGCGGCCGUGAACCGGUCGGGGGACAGUGUCAGGUGGGCAGUUUGACUGGGGCGGUCGCCUCCCAAAAGGUAACGGAGGCGCCCAAAGGUUCCCUCAGCGCGGAUGGACAUCGCGCGGCGAGUGCAAAGGCACAAGGGAGCUUGACUGCGAGAGGGACGUCUCGAGCAGGGACGAAAGUCGGGCUUAGUGAUCCGGCGGCACUGAGUGGAAGGGCCGUCGCUCAACGGAUAAAAGCUACCCCGGGGAUAACAGGCUGAUCUCCCCCAAGAGUCCACAUCGACGGGGAGGUUUGGCACCUCGAUGUCGGCUCAUCGCAUCCUGGGGCUGAAGUCGGUCCCAAGGGUUGGGCUGUUCGCCCAUGAAAGCGGUACGCGAGCUGGGUUCAGAACGUCGUGAGACAGUUCGGUCCCUAUCUGCCGCGGGCGGAGGAAACUUGAGAGGGGCUGUCCUUAGUACGAGAGGACCGGGAUGGACCGACCGCUGGUGUCCCAGUUGUGCCGCCAGGCGCAUCGCUGGGUAGCCAAGUCGGGGAGGGAGAAGCGCUGAAUGCAUCUAAGCGCGAAGCCCGCCUCAAGAUGAGGUUUCCCACACCGUCAAGGUGGUAAGACCCCUUGGAGAAGACGAGGUAGAUCGGUCCGGCGUGGAAGCGCCGCGAGGCGUGAAGCGGACGGAUACGAAUCGGUCGAGGCUUUCUUGAG